Molecule: long non-coding RNA, 778 nt
Organism: Solanum lycopersicum (tomato)
Lineage: Eukaryota; Viridiplantae; Streptophyta; Magnoliopsida; Solanales; Solanaceae
Source: RefSeq, a predicted model, not a curated record
UCCAGUAGUCCAUCCUUCUUUAUUCAAAUCAGCCCAUUUCCUCAACGCUUAUUCCCAAAUCUAGCCCACAAUUUCAAUCCAAAACACCCAGCAACAAGACAACAGCGUGCAACAUCAACUCACCAGACGACCACAAUGCAUCUUCUUCCCCAUACGUAACAAAAAACCUAGAAAAAAAAUCACUUAGAUGCAAUUGAACGAAAUCACGAGAAAUUUUGUCAAACAGCCUGAGCGUCCCUCUCCUCCGUUCUUAUCCAUUUGUACAAGAAUUUCCAGGUGUCUUCAUCUUCGCGUCUCAAUCGUCCUUGUGAAUAAAUUGACGGUCCUCCUCUCAAAUCUGUUCAGAAUGGUCGUUGAAGUUGUCGAUUCAUGAUGUGUGGUUGAAUAGUUUUCCUCCAGCUCGUUGUGAUCUCAGUUCGCUGCUCCAAAUAAGCAUAUUCCAGUCAAAGAAGGAGUUUCACAAGAUACUAUCUAAAAGGAGUGGACAUCCAGAAAUGAAGAGAAAUAAAAAAAAAGAAAGAAAGGCCUUCCAUGGAGGCAUAAGUAAGGAUGGUACCCCUGCGUGGGAUGGAUUAUUUAUAUUUCGUUUUUCUUAUUAUGUAUCCCCAUUCAACUUUAUUCAUGAAGUUUGUAUAAAUUUGAGUUUUGGGGCAAUGGAAUAUUUCAAAUGACGUUAUACAUCCUUCAAAUCGUUAGGCCUGCCUUUGGCACAAAAAGGUCAUAUAUUUGUAUAGAAAGAGCAAUAUUUGUUUAUGUAUUAUAACUGCUUCAACGAGUA